This 284-nucleotide long non-coding RNA is filed under the name Mytilus galloprovincialis (Mediterranean mussel). The record is from RNAcentral. Lineage: Eukaryota; Metazoa; Mollusca; Bivalvia; Mytilida; Mytilidae.
AAAAAUUUACGGACGCCAUCAUGACAUCAUGAGUUGGUUGACUGUAAUCUGUUAUAGAAUGUCUAUUUCAAAAAUUUUGUAAAUUUGGCAUAGGCGGAUCCAGGGGGGAUUCUUUGGGUGCUCAGUCUUUAUUUUAUGUUGUGUUUUGUGUACUGUUUUUUCGUCGUCUUUCGUUAUUUCCACGACAUUGUCAGCUUGAAUGUCUAUACAGUCAAUCUUUUUAUCCAGGGAUAGAUUACCUAAGCAUUAUUUGGAAUUGUGGGUCUUGAAUGCUCUUCAACUUU